AAGAGUUUGAUCCUGGCUCAGAUUGAACGCUGGCGCUAUGCCUUACACAUGCAAGUCGAACGGCAGCACGGGUGCUUGCACCUGGUGGCGAGUGGCGAACGGGUGAGUAAUACAUCGGAACAUGUCCUGUAGUGGGGGAUAGCCCGGCGAAAGCCGGAUUAAUACCGCAUACGAUCUACGGAUGAAAGCGGGGGACCUUCGGGCCUCGCGCUAUAGGGUUGGCCGAUGGCUGAUUAGCUAGUUGGUGGGGUAAAGGCCUACCAAGGCGACGAUCAGUAGCUGGUCUGAGAGGACGACCAGCCACACUGGGACUGAGACACGGCCCAGACUCCUACGGGAGGCAGCAGUGGGGAAUUUUGGACAAUGGGCGAAAGCCUGAUCCAGCAAUGCCGCGUGUGUGAAGAAGGCCUUCGGGUUGUAAAGCACUUUUGUCCGGAAAGAAAUCCUUGGCUCUAAUACAGUCGGGGGAUGACGGUACCGGAAGAAUAAGCACCGGCUAACUACGUGCCAGCAGCCGCGGUAAUACGUAGGGUGCGAGCGUUAAUCGGAAUUACUGGGCGUAAAGCGUGCGCAGGCGGUUUGCUAAGACCGAUGUGAAAUCCCCGGGCUCAACCUGGGAACUGCAUUGGUGACUGGCAGGCUAGAGUAUGGCAGAGGGGGGUAGAAUUCCACGUGUAGCAGUGAAAUGCGUAGAGAUGUGGAGGAAUACCGAUGGCGAAAGGCAGCCCCCUGGGCCAAUACUGACGCUCAUGCACGAAAGCGUGGGGGAGCAAACAGGAUUAGAUACCCUGGUAGUCCACGCCCCUAACGAUGUCAACUAGUUGUUGGGGAUUCAUUUCCUUAGUAACGUAGCUAACGCGUGAAGUUGACCGCUGGGGAGUACGGUCGCAAGAUUAAAACUCAAAGGAAUUGACGGGGACCCGCACAAGCGGUGGAUGAUGUGGAUUAAUUCGAUGCAACGCGAAAAACCUUACCUACCCUUGACAUGGUCGGAAUCCUGCUGAGAGGCGGGAGUGCUCGAAAGAGAACCGGCGCACAGGUGCUGCAUGGCUGUCGUCAGCUCGUGCCGUGAGAUGUUGGGUUAAGUCCCGCAACGAGCGCAACCCUUGUCCUUAGUUGCUACGCAAGAGCACUCUAAGGAGACUGCCGGUGACAAACCGGAGGAAGGUGGGGAUGACGUCAAGUCCUCAUGGCCCUUAUGGGUAGGGCUUCACACGUCAUACAAUGGUCGGAACAGAGGGUUGCCAACCCGCGAUGGGGAGCUAAUCCCAGAAAACCGAUCGUAGUCCGGAUUGCACUCUGCAACUCGAGUGCAUGAAGCUGGAAUCGCUAGUAAUCGCGGAUCAGCAUGCCGCGGUGAAUACGUUCCCGGGUCUUGUACACACCGCCCGUCACACCAUGGGAGUGGGUUUUACCAGAAGUUGCUAGUCUAACCGCAAGGAGGACGGUCACCACGGUAGGAUUCAUGACUGGGGUGAAGUCAUGACAAGGUA
RNAcentral lists this ribosomal RNA (1493 nucleotides) under uncultured beta proteobacterium. Its description in RNAcentral is "16S ribosomal RNA". It matches the Rfam family "Bacterial small subunit ribosomal RNA". The record is from RNAcentral. Lineage: Bacteria; Pseudomonadati; Pseudomonadota; Betaproteobacteria.